Molecule: long non-coding RNA, 1275 nt
Organism: Canis lupus familiaris (dog)
Lineage: Eukaryota; Metazoa; Chordata; Mammalia; Carnivora; Canidae
Exons: 3
Source: RefSeq, a predicted model, not a curated record
ACAUCCAAUAUCAAAAAAAAAAUCCAAUUUCAAACUUUAUGGGGUUAUUUUUAUUGAUGGAGGAUUUUCCUUACAUUUGUGGAGCCUAUAAAAAGGCCACAGGGUCAUUGACUCAAAUCAUAAGCAAAUUAUUAGUAGUCAUAUAAAUUUACCAACAAAUUGAUUUGUACUAUUUUGGGACCUAUUUCAACCUAUUUUCAGAGGGCUCACAAGAUUUAUAAACAUAAAGGAUAUAAUUCUAAAGUGGCACAACUUCUCCAGAAAUGAGACACAGAGAUCACGUGCCCAGCUCCUACUGUGUAGCAGUGACUAUUAAAGGCUGGCUCUCUAGGCUUCACAUCUUCUUUGGGACCGAAGCAGACAAGGGGACACUGCCUAUGUUCUGUAACAGAGGGCUCACAAGAUUUAUAAACAUAAAGGAUAUAAUUCUAAAGUGGCACAACUUCUCCAGAAAUGAGACACAGAGAUCACGUGCCCAGCUCCUACUGUGUAGCAGUGACUAUUAAAGGCUGGCUCUCUAGGCUUCACAUCUUCUUUGGGACCGAAGCAGACAAGGGGACACUGCCUAUGUUCUGUAACAGAGGGCUCACAAGAUUUAUAAACAUAAAGGAUGUAAUUCUAAAGUGGCACAACUUCUCCAGAAAAGAGACACAGAGAACACGUGCCCAGCUCCUACUGUGUAGCAGUGACUAUUAAAGGCUGGCUCUCUAGGCUUCACAUCUUCUUUGGGACCGAAGCAGACAAGGGGACACUGCCUAUGUUCUGUAACAGGUCAGUUAUGCUCAAUAUCAAACUUUGGUUCACAGAAUUAAUGGUGGAAGUUGUAGCUACCUUUAUCCUGGGUAAGAUAAGAAGUUAUGUUCCUGCAUUGUUUGUGACAUGGCCGGACAACCAAUGGAAAUUCCUGGGUUGUUUCAAAAAGAUGUGCCAGUUUAUGGUGAAGAAGACCCUUAUUUAUGUCCUGAGUUCUCUUGCGUCCAUUAUACACAAUCUAAUUGUUGGAGAAGUCUUCAUCAAUAAGCUAUAUUACUUUCUACACAAAAAGAUGGUUUCUGAACCCACAGCUGUGGUUGUCGUUUAGCUACUCUUACACCUACUCACCCUGCAGUCGUUGGGGGGAUACUUGGCACCCGGAGGAGAGCAAAGGACUUUCCUCGCUUAUCUACUGCCACUGGAGGCUUGUGUGCAUGCUCGGCUCUCUCCCCGAGCCUGGCCCAUUCUAUCCUCUCACAAAGAACAUAAUAACAUAAGAACAUUUAAAUAAAUAAAUAAAUA